Molecule: non-coding RNA, 491 nt
Organism: Oryctolagus cuniculus (rabbit)
Lineage: Eukaryota; Metazoa; Chordata; Mammalia; Lagomorpha; Leporidae
Source: RefSeq, a predicted model, not a curated record
UCAGUGGGGAGGGGGUCCUUAUAAAACUUAAUUGUGGGCCGGCACCGCGGCUCACUAGGCUAAUCCUCCACCUUGCCACGCCGGCACACUGGGUUCUAGUUCCUGUCGGGGUGCCGGAUUCUUUCCCGGUUGCCCCUCUUCCAGGCCAGCUCUCUGCUGUGGCCAGGGAGUGCAGUGGAGGACGGCCCAAGUGCUUGGGCCCUGCAUCCCAUAGGAGACCAAGAGAGGACACUCAAUGAGGAAAGGUUCAUGGAUUUCCUGUGAGGGGCUUGCUACCAGUGAAUGACGACAAAACAACCAACCAACCAACCAAAAAAAUACUAUGAGGUUUCAGGUCACAUGACUCUGCUGGACCUGCAAGUGACUGGAACGUGGCAGACAGUUGACACAUGUUGAAAUACAUUUUCAUCAUUUAUUUUAAGAUAAGAAGAAAAAGAAAACCCAAACAAUAUUUUGGAAAUAAAGGGAUCCAAUUUUAUGGCAGCGGUAAG